This 458-nucleotide ribosomal RNA is filed under the name uncultured bacterium. RNAcentral's name for it is "partial 16S ribosomal RNA". It matches the Rfam family "Bacterial small subunit ribosomal RNA", at positions 338 to 795 of the family's 1533-position model. The record is from RNAcentral.
CCUACGGGAGGCAGCAGUGAGGAAUAUUGGUCAAUGGGCGAGAGCCUGAACCAGCCAAGUCGCGUGAGGGAGUACUGCCCUAUGGGUUGUAAACCUCUUUUGUCGGGGAGCAAAAGCCGGACGUUUCCGGCUGUGAGAGUACCCGAAGAAAAAGCAUCGGCGAAGUCCGUGCCAGCAGCCGCGGUAAUACGGAGGAUGCGAGCGUUAUCCGGAUUUAUUGGGGUUAAAGGGGGCGCAGGGGGAAUUUUAAGUCAGCGGUCAAACCGUGGGGCUCAACCCCAUCCAGCCGUUGAAACUGGGGCUCUAGAGUGUGCGAGAGGUAUGCGGAAUGCGUGGUGUAGCGGUGAAAUGCAUAGAUAUCACGCAGAACCCCGAUGGCGAAGGCAGCAUACCGGUGCACAACUGACGCUGAGGCACGAAAGCGUGGGUAUCGAACAGGAUUAGAUACCCCAGUAGUC